GGUAUUUACAUAUCUUGGGGAGAUUUAGAGUAUAAACUCUAAGAUCUUUGGUAUUUAAGUGUCAACAUCGAUUUUAUUUAUUUAUUGCUGAGCUGACUGUAACCGACUCAGUCACAAAUCUAAUCGUGUAUUGCACUGGAAAAGAAAUAUUCUUAUUACAUAUUUUCCCCAAAUGAUGUUGCACCAUUGCUUUUGAAUACCUGUUGUAAAUAUAUCAAUAAUAUUAGGUAAUUACU
Procavia capensis (Cape rock hyrax) is the source of this 236-nucleotide non-coding RNA. The record is from Rfam. Lineage: Eukaryota; Metazoa; Chordata; Mammalia; Hyracoidea; Procaviidae.